RNAcentral lists this ribosomal RNA (199 nucleotides) under uncultured bacterium. RNAcentral's name for it is "partial 16S ribosomal RNA". It matches the Rfam family "Bacterial small subunit ribosomal RNA", at positions 118 to 318 of the family's 1533-position model. The record is from RNAcentral.
UGAGCAAUCUGCCCUUCACAUCGGAAUAACCAUUGGAAACGAUGGCUAAUACCGAAUAUGACUUCGGAUCGCAUGAUCUGAAGUGGAAAGCUCCGGCGGUGAAGGAUGAGCUCGCGGCCUAUCAGCUUGUUGGUGAGGUAAUAGCUCACCAAGGCGAUGACGGGUAGCUGGUCUGAGAGGAUGGCCAGCCACAUUGGGA